Molecule: transfer RNA, 75 nt
Filed under: Geobacter sp.
Lineage: Bacteria; Pseudomonadati; Thermodesulfobacteriota; Desulfuromonadia; Geobacterales; Geobacteraceae
Description: tRNA-Val
Rfam family: tRNA
About the family: Transfer RNA (tRNA) molecules are approximately 80 nucleotides in length. Their secondary structure includes four short double-helical elements and three loops (D, anti-codon, and T loops).
Source: RNAcentral
GGGCGAUUAACUCAGCGGGAGAGUGCUACCUUCACACGGUAGAAGUCGACAGUUCGAUCCUGUCAUCGCCCACCA